CUACGGGGCGCUGCAGUGGGGAAUAUUGCACAAUGGGCGCAAGCCUGAUGCAGCCAUGCCGCGUGUAUGAAGAAGGCCUUCGGGUUGUAAAGUACUUUCAGCGGGGAGGAAGGGAGUAAAGUUAAUACCUUUGCUCAUUGACGUUACCCGCAGAAGAAGCACCGGCUAACUCCGUGCCAGCAGCCGCGGUAAUACGGAGGGUGCAAUCGUUAAUCGGAAUUACUGGGCGUAAAGCGCACGCAGGCGGUUUGUUAAGUCAGAUGUGAAAUCCCCGGGCUCAACCUGGGAACUGCAUCUGAUACUGGCGAGCUUGAGUCUCGUAGAGGGGGGUAGAAUUCCAGGUGUAGCGGUGAAAUGCGUAGAGAUCUGGAGGAAUACCGGUGGCGAGGGCGGCCCCCUGGACGAAGACUGACGCUCAGGUGCGAAAGCGUGGGGAGCAAACAGGAUUAGAUACCCCUGUAGUC
RNAcentral lists this ribosomal RNA (464 nucleotides) under uncultured bacterium. RNAcentral's name for it is "partial 16S ribosomal RNA". It matches the Rfam family "Bacterial small subunit ribosomal RNA", at positions 339 to 795 of the family's 1533-position model. The record is from RNAcentral.